GUGCUCGCUUCGGCAGCACAUAUACUAAAAUUGGAACGAUAUAAGAUUAGCAUGGCCUCUGCGCGAGGAUGACACUCAAAUUUAAAAAAAAAAGAAAAAAGUAUUU
Molecule: small nuclear RNA, 106 nt
Filed under: Myotis davidii
Lineage: Eukaryota; Metazoa; Chordata; Mammalia; Chiroptera; Vespertilionidae
Source: RNAcentral